UACGUAGGGUGCAAGCGUUAAUCGGAAUUACUGGGCGUAAAGCGUGCGCAGGCGGUUUUGCAAGACCGAUGUGAAAUCCCCGGGCUUAACCUGGGAAUGGCAUUGGUGACUGCACGGCUAGAGUGUGUCAGAGGGGGGUAGAAUUCCACGUGUAGCAGUGAAAUGCGUAGAGAUGUGGAGGAAUACCGAUGGCGAAGGCAGCCCCCUGGGCCAAUACUGACGCUCAUGCACGAAAGCGUGGGGAGCAAACAGG
Molecule: ribosomal RNA, 253 nt
Filed under: uncultured bacterium
Lineage: Bacteria
Description: partial 16S ribosomal RNA
Rfam family: Bacterial small subunit ribosomal RNA
Source: RNAcentral